UUGCUGGGGAAGGUAAAUCCGCCCAGGGUUAGCCGGUGCCUUAGUCGAGGCCGAAAGGCGUAGACGAUGGACAGCAGGUCAACAUUCCUGCGCCACUCGAGUGGACCGAUUGAGGGGACGGCGUCGCAAUGGUGAGCGGUACGAUUAGAAAUGUCCGCAGGCGCUCCUCCGGUGAGGGAUAGGCAAAUCCGCCCUCAUCAGCCGGGGGUGCGUCUCGACCGCGUUUAUGUUCGGGUAGUCAUCGGCGCGGCGUCCAAGAAAAGCCUCUAAGGGAUGAAGCUCGAGUGACCGUACUAAAACUGACACAGGUAGGCGAGACGAGAAGUCUAAGGCGCUCGGGAGAACGCUGGUUAAGGAACUCUGCAAAUUGGCCCCGUAAGUUCGCGAUAAGGGGUGCCUCCGGGGGUUCACGCUCCUGGAGGUCACAGUAAAUCGGCUUCAGCGACUGUUUAUCAAAAACACAGGACUCUGCCAACUCGCAAGAGGAUGUAUAGAGUCUGACGCCUGCCCGGUGUCGGUAGGUUAAGGAAGAGGGUUAGCCCCUCUGUUUCUUCGGAAACAUGGGCGAAGCUCGCGACCGAAGCCCCGAUAAACGGCGGCCGUAACUAUGACGGUCCUAAGGUAGCGAAGUUCCUUGUCGGGUAAGUUCCGACCUGCAUGAAUCGCGUAACGACUGGAGCACUGUCUCCACGAGCGACUCGGUGAAGUUGCAGUCGUGGUGAAGAUACCACGUUCCCGUAUUAAGACGGAAAGACCCCGUGAACCUUUACUGCAGGUUAGUACUGGGCUUAGGCGUUGCAUGCGUAGUAUAGGUGGGAGGCUGUGAGGCCGGGACUCUGGUCUCGGCGGAGCCGCAAUGUGAAAUACCACCCUUGUUGCGUUUGAGUUCUAACUCGUUGCCGUGAAUCCGGCGCGAGGACAAUGCUAAUUGGGCAGUUUGACUGGGGCGGUCUCCUCCAAAAAGGUAACGGAGGAGCCCAAAGGUACUCUCAGCCCGGUUGGCAAUCGGGCCUUAGAGCGUAAAGGUAUAAGAGUGCCUGACUGCGAGACCGAUAAGUCGAGCAGACACGAAAGUGGGGCUUAGUGAUCCGGCGGUGCUGUAUGGAAAGGCCGUCGCUCAACAGAUAAAAGGUACUCCGGGGAUAACAGGCUUAUCGCGCCCGAGCGUCCAUAGCGGCGGCGCGGUUUGGCCCCUCGAUGUCGGCUCAUCGCAUCCUGGGGCGGUAGCACGUCCCAAGGGUUUGACUGUUCGUCAAUUAAAGCGGUACGCGAGCUGGGUUCAAAACGUCGAG
RNAcentral lists this ribosomal RNA (1292 nucleotides) under groundwater metagenome. RNAcentral describes it as "bacterial LSU rRNA". It matches the Rfam family "Bacterial large subunit ribosomal RNA", at positions 1352 to 2623 of the family's 2925-position model. The record is from RNAcentral.